RNAcentral lists this long non-coding RNA (4626 nucleotides) under Triticum aestivum (bread wheat). RNAcentral describes it as "long non-coding RNA (TAES_LNC003042)". Lineage: Eukaryota; Viridiplantae; Streptophyta; Magnoliopsida; Poales; Poaceae. The record is from RNAcentral.
UGCUCUUGCUCUGGCUCAAUUAGAAGGUUAGGUGUGACAAAAAAACUGAAACUUUAUCUCCUAAUAUCCCUCCAUUUUUGCAAAAUCAAAUUUGUGUCAGCUAUGUGACCAAUGAUCAUACACUUGUUUCAAAUAAUCAUACACUUAUCAAUUUCCACGGACAAGUUAAUGGUGUAUACCUGCUUCUGAGCUGCCAUGCAAAGACUCUGUUAUCUCUUGAACUUAUCCACUGCCAACUUUAUCCUGCGGUCAUGGAUAAAGUUUGCAUUAGUCUUUGCCAGCCAGGUUCCCAAAACUACAAGUUCCAGUCCUUUUAUUCUGCCUUGGUCAUAAUGUUAAUUUUUCUUCCAUAUGUUAAUUUUUUUGUCGUAUGUAGGCCAUCAGAUAACUUGUGUAUGUUCAUCUAGCUGCAAAAGAAACUUAUGACUUCUGUCGUCAGUAAAAAAAUAGUAGACCAGUUUACAGUUGAAAGGACCAGGCACGACCAUUUACUUGACGUGUUAUACUCUCAAUGAAUCUUAAUUAUUUCUGAUAUGUUUCAGUUAUUUUAUUUCAACAGAAGACAAGACUAAUCUGUUAUACUCUCAAUGAAUCUUAAUUAUUUCUGAUAUGUUUCAGUUAUUUUAUUUCAACAGAAGACAAGACUAAUCUGUCAUUGAUAGUGUUUUUGCAGCUAGCACUAAAAGCUGGUGUGUUUUAUGAUAGAGUGACAAAUAUGACUAUUUUGGGAAACCAUUCAACAACUCAGGUGAAUAUAUGAUUACAAACAUGGCUACUCUGCUGGCAGUGCUUUGGAGUAUUGAUUUGAUGAUUUCCACUUGAGUAGGUUCCUAAUUUCUUGAAUGCCAAAAUUGAUGAGAGGCCAGUAAAAGAAGUCAUCAAAGAUACAAAGUGGCUAGAAAAGGAUUUUUCUACAACUGUUCAAAAGGUACACAAUUCCUGAUUGAUUGGGACAACUAAGAGAAUAUUGUGUACUGAUUGAUUGAUUGAUUUCAUGAAAUAUUGUGUAUUGGCUUGAGGUCAUGCAGCUGCUCUCGUUGCUUACGCAGGUACACGGAGAAGGUGAUGGUGCCGCUGAGGCUGUUGCUCCCGAUGUUAGAGAGGGUGUCGCUGACCGAUGCCGCCGGCUUGCCCGAGGUGGCCUGCACGUCUUCAUGACCAGCCAUCUCCCCAGUUGAGUCCCUUCCCUUUAAGAAAAUCUCUCUGGCUAAUUUGUUCGUUAGGAUUGCAGAAUGUGAAUCUUCCUUAGUCAUCACCAAAUUGACAUGCUCUGACUAACUGAAAAAUAACAAAGUAUUGAAUGGUGCUACUCUAAUGGAGUAUGAAAUGAUUUAGUAAUCACUUCUAUGCAAAAAUAGGUUCACAAUUUGGUGUUGUGAGAAUUGAACUGGAACAGAAUUUUCAUGCCUUUGUUUUUUCUUGUCGACCUAUCUCCAGUCGUAUGCAGAUUCACAGUGGAUCAAGCAGAAUUGGCACAUUUGCUAUACAGAUUGCGAAGCGCCUUGGAAUCAAGGUUUUUUUCACUGCAGGUUUAUUGGUUCAGAUAAAUACAAUAUAUAUGGUACAAAGAUGUUUUCCGAAAGAAAAUCUGUUAUGCCGCUCGAGAAAUCUAAAGAGAAACUAGUCGCUUGCGACGUUUAAGGUGUGGAUAUAUGCAAAAACUACAAAACCUUUGUAGCACGUAUCGAAGAAGAAACUAAUGGAAAUGGUAUUAUCGUGCCAUCCUCUUGUGACACUUGAUGCCCUGAUGCAAAAGUAAAUAAAAUUAUUUGGCUUUACCAAGUUAUACCCGUCAAUUUCAUAUACAUUCUGACUGUAAUAUGUGGAAUAUCUCUACCAGACCUUGAUGUCAUUCUGGACAACGUAGGCAGAUCUUAUCUCCAAGGCAAUCUGGAUAGCUUAGCAGUUGAUGGUAUACUUUUCAUCAUUGGUUUCAUGUGAGGCAUUGUAAUUGUAGUGAACCUGCGUUGUAGUUGAAGACCGACUGUACAAGGUUAUAUCGAUCUAUCUAUAUACAACCAUGCCUCUUUCACUUUUAUGUGUUUUUUUCCUGAUAACACAUCUUACUCUCUGAACACAAUUCUCAUAGGACUGUUGAUGCUUUUCUGUUGUUAGAAUUUCAUGCUUUCUUUGUCGGCAACUGAUGAUGCAGUGCUAUGAUGUAGCUUUGUGUCUUCUAAAUUAUUUUUUACUCUCAAAUAAUUUACUAGACAACGGAAGAGCUAAAUGCGUACUUUUGUGUAGACUUACCUCCAUUCAGAGAGAUGCUGCAACUGGUGAUACAUCUGUGCGAAGCCAGAUCCAGAAUGAGUCGACAGAGUUGGGAGUAGCAAUACAACAUCUGGGGGCUAUGCUUUUUGAGCUUGGAUGGACAAUGAUGAUGCUUAGAAUGGGGCCAUCUCCUGUAUGCAUUUUUAUACUAUGUCACUAUCACACAAGUGAUUCACAAGGUUUAAGUAUUUUGAUAGCUUUUUUAUUUUGAAGGCUAAUGCUUUUGUAAAUGUUGGGCAUGCUGUUUAUACAAACCCCACUGGACCAAGUCCAAUCAUGGUUCAGGCUACCUGUAUAGCUUUGCUUUCCUAUCAUGAACAACCGACGACUUUGUUUUGGGCUAUCAUGCUAGCAUGCCCUGUAACAUAUAUCACUAUGUAUUAACAUGCUACCUAAGUAUCUAUUUCUUUAUACUUUAAGGAUCUUAUUAUCAGUCCUUAAACAAAUCUUACGUGCAUGAUUUGAAUGCUUGGUUUGCUGUCGCCCUUUGCACCAUCGGCGCAACGGGUGGUUAGCUGCUUUUUUAUGUGUGAGAAUGUGAGGAAUGUUUCUAUAUGUGCCCACAUUUAUUUGGUGUGCCUGCUAUGUUUCACUUUCACUCUCUUUGUUGAAUAAAUUGAGAAAUUCUUGAUUCUUUUCAUCUUAUUUCUUUACAUGAAGGAUCCAGAUUAAAAUCUAAUGUGUUAUUAUUGUUGGCUUAGUUUACACAAAUGCAUUUUAGAUCACCUACUUCUCAGUUCAUGCAUUUUGGAUCCAGAGCCUCCGUUAGGUUUUUGGAUGUGCUCUCUUAGGUACAUUUUCUUUUCUCUUUCUUUCCUUCCUCUUGGACUGUUAUUCUCUGUCUGUAUAUAUUUGCUUCGAUUGAAAUAAAGGACCAUGGGGCUUUUGCUCCACGGUGGAUAGUGGAAAAAAAGUAAUAGGUAUUUGAUUUAAACUGCUUGAAGUUAACAAGGACCAAGUAACAUACUAUGUGCUUGCUCUGUUUGGUCGUGGCAUAUGAAUCUGAUUGGAUCAUCGCAGUUGAAUAAUUAGAAACCUUGGGAAGGACUAUGAUGUGUGUUUCUGUUUUAGUUAUAGAGACUUGGUCUCGUGUGAUGCCUCAUAAGGUCGAGGCAUGUGUUACAGAGGCUAGGAAGAUCAUUUUGCUGUUGUUUAUUAGAUUUUUUGGAUAAUGCAAAAACACCUAUGUACUAAUAACCUAUAUACUGAUGUUAUACUAACAAUAGUUUCCUUCUUUUCCAUUGCAGUAAGUAGAAGUUAUAUUUUUUUCCUGACUAUUCCUUUCUUUUCCUAGGCCAACGAUUUGCUUUCUGCUCGGAUUACACUGCCUGCAGCCUCCUAAUUGUAGACUCAACUAUCUUGACCUAUCGAUGAUCUAAUUUGUGGCAUUAUUACCUUAAGAAAAUAUUUGCAUUUAAUUUUCUGUAUAUACAGGGGUAUAAGUUCUUACCAAAUGUACUUAAAUAUACAGUUAUUGAAAAAAUGCAAAUAUUUUCAACACGAACAUGCUUUUAAACGGGUCUUUGCGCCAUUUGGCGCAACUGGUCAUCUAGUAUUUCGAAAAAAAACCCAGAGGAUGAGCGCGAUUUAGCUAAAAAGCGCACGUGCGGGAUUUGGCGGGCGCUCACCAUGUUGGCUCGGCCCAUGACGAGGAAGCAGGCUGAGGGAGGCCCGAUGCGGACGGGUGGGUCUGCUGGGCCGCGGGCGAGGCCCACCUGGCGGCACGGUCAACGACGCAGAGGGUUGAGUGGGGCGUGCUCCUCCUCGAAGCAGGACAACGGCGGCGUCCGGCGAGGGCGACACGACGCUGGCAACGGGGAGAGGUCGGCGGGUUCGGGAGCAGGCGGAUCUGGCCACGGGAGGUCGGCGGGGCUCCGUUCUCGGCCGGAUCCAACCAGAGGCGGAGACGGGCAUCCAUGGCGGCGCGGUCGGGGAAGACCAAGGCGGUGGCGGCGGUUCCCUGCGAGGACGGGAGGAAGCAAGACCUUGAGUGAGAGGGAGAUGGAAGGCGAGGCAGAGGAGGGAAGGAGGAGCAGGGGCGACCGAGCACCCAUCUACGGCGAGUUCCGGUCACUGGCGGCGGGGCUCUGGAUCGGGAGCUCCUCUCCCGAUCUGGAACUCGGGAGCGAGGCAUCAUGCGGGCAGCGACGCGGUCGGGCCCCGAUGGGCUUGCACGGGCCGCGGCGAAGGGAGAGGCAGGGAGGCCACGUGGCAGCACCCGGUUGGAGGAGGGCGGCGGCUGCGGCGUUGCUGGCCGCUCAGGCAGCACCAAGUGUCAGAGGCGGGGUGGAUCGGCGUGGAUUCCGAGGAGGAAGGCGUAUGGAGGUUAGGGGGAACUAGGGUUAGGCUAGGGAC